GGUGGUUCUCAGGUGACACACCCCAAAAUCGAGCUCCCUCUUCUCUGGUUCCAGGUGCGUCAUCUGAGAACCACA
Molecule: non-coding RNA, 75 nt
Organism: Myotis brandtii (Brandt's bat)
Lineage: Eukaryota; Metazoa; Chordata; Mammalia; Chiroptera; Vespertilionidae
Source: Rfam